Long non-coding RNA from Hyaena hyaena (striped hyena), 714 nucleotides. RefSeq lists it as uncharacterized. The transcript has 3 exons. NCBI's taxonomy places the organism in Eukaryota, Metazoa, Chordata, Mammalia, Carnivora, Hyaenidae. The record is from RefSeq and is a predicted model, not a curated record.
GGGGAGCGGGCGCUCGGGUUGUGGUGGCCGGAGGGGUCUGGGCCUCGAGGUCGACGCCUGUGGCUGCCGAGGCCAAAGAAUCCACCGCGGCUUGGUCGCCGGAGAGGGAGGGCUCCGCUGCCGCCGCCGCCCGGCCGGUGCCCGGGAAAAUCAGCCCAGAGAGUCAAUGGGAUUUGCCCCAGGCCUCCCACCGGGCAAGCCAGCACUAAGGACCUGGGUACUGGCGGAUGGGGAUGGUGGCUCUCCCUCUCCUGUGUAAGACUUCUAAAAGAUUGCAAAAAUAGUAUGAUGAAUUCCUGCGUACCCAUCGUCCAGUCUCUGAUUGUCAGCAUCUUACCUGAUGGCACGCAGCCUUCAAAGCCAGGAGGUCAACAUGGGUGCGGUUCUGGUAACUUGACUCUGAUUUCUCCAGCUUGUUCCCAGCAUCCUUUUUCUGUUCCGGCAUCCCAUAUUGCAUUUAGCCAUGGUCUUCUCAGUCCCCUCCAGUCUGGGACAGGUCCUCAGCCUGCCCCUGUCCUUGAUGACCUCAGCAGUUUUGAAGUGUCUUGGUCAGUUGUUUUGUAGACCAUCCCUCCAUGUGGCUUGUCUCAUUAAAGCAGGGGUGUGCAUUUUGGGCAGGAAUAUCACAGAGAGAUGACAUCGUGUCCUCUGAGGUGCAUCUCAGCAAGGAGGUUAUGGUGUUGAUGUCUUAUGGAUGGUCAAGUUGACCCUGAU